Molecule: ribosomal RNA, 81 nt
Filed under: uncultured fungus
Lineage: Eukaryota; Fungi
Description: partial 5.8S ribosomal RNA
Rfam family: 5.8S ribosomal RNA
About the family: 5.8S ribosomal RNA (5.8S rRNA) is a component of the large subunit of the eukaryotic ribosome. It is transcribed by RNA polymerase I as part of the 45S precursor that also contains 18S and 28S rRNA.
Source: RNAcentral
GAUUGCAGAAUUCAGUGAAUCAUCGAAUCUUUGAACGCACCUUGCGCCCUCUGGCUAUUCCGGAGGGCAUGCCUGUUUGAG